Molecule: ribosomal RNA, 465 nt
Filed under: Aeromonas sp. CSeC0_35
Lineage: Bacteria; Pseudomonadati; Pseudomonadota; Gammaproteobacteria; Aeromonadales; Aeromonadaceae
Description: bacterial SSU rRNA
Rfam family: Bacterial small subunit ribosomal RNA
Source: RNAcentral
AGUCGAGCGGCAGCGGGAAAGUAGCUUGCUACUUUUGCCGGCGAGCGGCGGACGGGUGAGUAAUGCCUGGGGAUCUGCCCAGUCGAGGGGGAUAACUACUGGAAACGGUAGCUAAUACCGCAUACGCCCUACGGGGGAAAGCAGGGGACCUUCGGGCCUUGCGCGAUUGGAUGAACCCAGGUGGGAUUAGCUAGUUGGUGAGGUAAUGGCUCACCAAGGCGACGAUCCCUAGCUGGUCUGAGAGGAUGAUCAGCCACACUGGAACUGAGACACGGUCCAGACUCCUACGGGAGGCAGCAGUGGGGUAUAUUGCACAAUGGGGGAUACCCUGAUGCAGCCAUGCCGCGUGUGUGAAGAACGCCUUCGGGUUGUAAAGCACUUUCAGCGAGGAGGAGAGGUUGGUAGCUAAUAACUGCCAGCUGUGACGUUACUCGCAGAAGACGCACCGGCUAACUCCGUGCCAGC